UACGGAGGGUGCAAGCGUUAAUCGGAAUCACUGGGCGUAAAGCGCGCGUAGGCUGCGCUGUAAGUCAGGGGUGAAAGCCCACGGCUCAACCGUGGAACUGCCCUUGAUACUGCAGUGCUAGAGUUUGUGAGAGGAUAGCGGAAUUCCAGGUGUAGGAGUGAAAUCCGUAGAGAUCUGGAGGAAGACCGGUGGCGAAGGCGGCUAUCUGGCACAAUACUGACGCUGAGGUGCGAAAGCGUGGGGAGCAAACAGG
This 253-nucleotide ribosomal RNA is filed under the name uncultured bacterium. RNAcentral describes it as "partial 16S ribosomal RNA". It matches the Rfam family "Bacterial small subunit ribosomal RNA", at positions 524 to 776 of the family's 1533-position model. The record is from RNAcentral.